UACCCGUAAAAACCAUAUGCAUGAGGAGAAAAUGCUGGUAAACUAGCAUUCAUAGAUAUACCGACAAUCUGAAAGAAAAUUCAAUCUUAAACUGUUCCAUAACAAACAAACAAAAUUCCACAUAACUCUCAUUUUUUUAAUUCAGAAUUCUGAAAAUUAAAUAUCCUUGCCCAAUCACUCAAGGCACAAUAUUUUUCCAGAUAUUAAAUACAAUAUAAUGAAAAAAUUCAUUAAAGAAAAACCGAGUAAAUCAAUUAUAAACAUCGCUAUAAAAAAAUUCAGCAAAGAAAUAAUGAAAAAUCCCCAAAUAAUAAAUAAUCAAUCACGACAAUCUUGGAACAUAUAUAUUCAUUUAACAGGAAAAAUUAGAGAAAUUAAAAAGUAAUUAUGGUUAAAAUUGGGAAGGGAACGGGAGAGACCAACGCAAAGAGGAUUUCGAGAAUCGACCUUUAAAUGGGACGAGUAAUAAACGCAACCUUUAUAAGACUUCCCUGUGUGAAUAUUUGCUUUUGUAUUCUUUGAAGAUGUUGAAGAUUGUUCUUUCAGUCGAUCCAUAUCUUCCAUCUUGUAGUUGAUUGAUUCGUUUGACGUUUUUGCUUCCAAAUCCAAUCCCGUACUUCGAUUUCGCUUAUCUUCUUCACCCAAUUUUCUUCUCUUGUUCUAUGUAUUUAUGUUGGGGGGAAAUGGAAGAAGAG
RNAcentral lists this long non-coding RNA (695 nucleotides) under Olea europaea subsp. europaea. Lineage: Eukaryota; Viridiplantae; Streptophyta; Magnoliopsida; Lamiales; Oleaceae. The record is from RNAcentral.